GUAAAAGGUUGAAAUUGCCUUUUAUACUUUAAUCCUCUAGAUAGGAUCUUCAGGUGCUUUGCUUGUUAGUAUAGAUCAAAACCAAUCAAAAGAUCCUUAUCUAGAAGGUCAGAACCAAUGAUUUUGGUCCAAAGGAUGCAGGUCGGGAAGAACUGAAUACCAAUUGGAUGCUUAGUAAUCAGGUUUGUUUUGAAAAUGUUUCCGUCUGCAGCCUUAAAGUACUCCGUAUAUGGAACUCAACUUUCUGGAGGGAGAAUGGCAAGGUUCAUCAUACUCUUAUGGGCUCCUGUAUAUUAAUGAGCCGCUCAUACUUGCUAGGCAGGAUGUGCAAAGAGACCAAAGGUAUAGGAAUAGUAUUCGGGCUAUGAGUGGAGUGAUUGGACCAGAUGUUUUGGGCUAGGUAAAAAGGGUAAUGGGCUUCAUAACCAAAAUCAGACUCUGAGUCUUCUGAAGAUGGAGACUGGAGUUGGUCAAAGUCAACAUCAUCUAUUCCAAGGCCAAACACAGUUUCUUCAUCUGGCCCUUCCUGUUUUGAGAACAGGGAUUCAACAUCAUCAACAUCUAGAGAUAUGUGGGAAGCUUGUUGAAUGUACUGGAUGAGUUUCACUGCCUUAUUUGGAUUCUUAGGGCAAUUCUUCGCAUAGUGGCCUCGAUUGUUACAAAUAUAACACCGAUCAGACUUUCGAGUGCCCUGUCGUUUCUUUCGAAAAUACUGGACCGGUUUCUUUCCUUUUUGGUGUUUGGAAGAGUAUUUUGGACUUGGGCGGCUUGGAUACUUUUGACGAUGACUCUUUUUCUUUGUUUUGCACACAGUUUUUCUCUUUGCAUUUGAUACCCAAAUGAAACUUUUGACAAACAUGCUUCAAAGUUUUCCUGUUAUCGAUAAUGUCCCUGAACAACUUCUGCUGCUCACACAUUUUUUCUAGGCAAGCCCAUGUCAUUUGGUGAAUUUCACCAAUUGAGAUGGUAUUCAUAUCCUUUCUGGUUGCUGCAAGAGACCGGUGCAAUUCUGGCUGUAAUUCUUCUGGAAGAGAGGCAAU
RNAcentral lists this unclassified non-coding RNA (1040 nucleotides) under Hevea brasiliensis (rubber tree). The record is from RNAcentral. Lineage: Eukaryota; Viridiplantae; Streptophyta; Magnoliopsida; Malpighiales; Euphorbiaceae.